AUUGCUGUUGCUUGCUUUGUGCGAGUCCUGUGCAGAAGGCAGCACCUUGCCUGUGACAGUCCUUGCAGGAGCAGUCCUGAGCCUGAGUCCUGAAGGGAUUUAAGCCACUAUAGUGCUUUGAUAAUCUGUAUGAGACCUGCAUAUAUCACUUACUUCACCAGUUUAUUUGCAUGGAUUUUUCAAUGACCAUAAACUUCAAAAGACAUUUAGGAAAAGAUAAAACAGUCCUAGUUCUACCAGACAUACAUAAAGUGACACAAUGAAUCAAGAUUAGCUGGAGGACUCUUUUCAGGAAUGCUAUUAUUUUGCCUUAACAUUUUGUAUGGGAGAAAAGGAAAUUACUAGCAAAAUCAUCAUGCUUGGAGAAAUGAAAAGUGUAAUUUCCUAGAGAAGAAAGGUUCUGUUUAUGUUACAGCGGGAGAUGAUAAUAGGAAGGGAACUGAUUUGACUACACAUGGAUUUCUACUGCUAUUUGGACUUCUCCAAGGAUAGCGCAUCCGGUGUACCCUUUCCUGCCAUCCAAUAAGAGGUUGGGAGGUGGAGGAAGCGAGCAGAGAAGAUCGAUGCAAGAGAUAAAGAAAAGACAGGAGCAGGAAGGUGAAAACAACAAAGGGAAUCAGAAUAGAUAUAUUUGGGAUAAGCAUGGGAACUUCCACAAGAUGCAAUCCUUCAUGAACUGCUCCAACAUGGGUCCUUCUCAUAAGCUUCAGUUCUUCAAGAACUUCUCCAGAAUGAGUCCUUUCUGAUGGGUACAGUACAUCAGGAAUAAACCUGCAUGGGUCUACCAUGCCACCACAGUUCUUGCCCUGCCACAGAAGCUGCUCUUGUGUGAGUUCCUCUCCAGAAGCUGAAGUUCCUGCCGGGAAACUUCUCCAGUGUGGUCUUUUCACAGACUGGACCUUCAUUCAGAGGAUCCACCUACUGCGUGUCCUCCAGCACCUGGAGUACUUUUUUCCCCUUUUUUAUUCUCUGAGUUUGGUUUUUGUAGCUUUUUUCUUUUUCCCCCUCACAUGUAUUUUCUCUCUCACAGUUGCUGCUCAGCAUUUUUUUCUUUUUAAACUAUGUCUUCUAAGAAGUGCCACCAACUUCACUGAGGGUCUCACCUGUGUCCAGCACGGGUGCAGCUCCUGCUGUCUUCUCAUAGAGGCCACCUCUGCAGCCCCUUGAUAUCAACAUCUUGCCAUUUCCACCCAAUAAAUAAAUUUUAAUCAAGCAUUAGAUAUGUCCAUUUCUUAAGUCAUUGAAACAGCCACAUUUAAACUACUGUGUCCAGUUUGAGGCUUCUCAGUUCAAAAAAGACAAGAAUCUCCUAGAAGGGAUCCAGCAGAGGGCCACAAAGGUGAUUAAGGUCCUGGAGCAUCUCCAGUAUGAGGAAAGGCUGAAAGAUCUGGGUCUGUUCAGUCUGGUGAAAAGAAGACUGAGAGGGGAUCUGAUAAAUAUUUAAAAACAUCUAAAGGGAGACGGAAGUCAAAUGCAUGAUGCCAGGCUCUUUUUGGUGGUGCGUAGCAAUAGGAUAAGGAGUAAUGGCCUGAAACUUGAACACAGGAUGUUCCAUACAAACAUGAAGAAGAAAUUCAUUACAGUAAGGGUGAUGGAGCACUGGAACAGGUUGCCCAGAGAGGUUGUGGAGUCUCCCUCUAUGGAGAAAUUCACAACCCACCUGAAUGUCUACCUAUGCAACAUAUUGUAGGGUACCUGCCUUAGCAGGAGAGUUAAACUCUGAUCUUGAGGUCCCUUCCAACCCUUGCAAUUCCAUGACUCAAAAACAAUUCUCUAGAGAGAUAGAUCAAUGUUUCUUACACUAUUCUGUUUGUGCAUUUUGAAAGAAUUUAGAUAUGAACCUUGUACAGAAAUUAUUGUUUGUAUCAUAAAAUUUUUUACACUGAUUCUCUAAUAAAACAAAUGGUGAGAAAAAAUAAGACAAAUGAGGAAACAUUCAAGAACAUCUUAAAAGUAUAAAGAGAGAGAGAAGACAUAAAUAAAGAAGUAAACCAUUUCUGUGACUCACAGAAAAUACAGUUGUCUAAUGCAUAGAAUGUGCUCCUAUGUGGAGCCAGGAAUUGUACUCAGUGACCUUGUGGGUCCCUUCUAACUAGGGAUAGUAUAUGAUUCUGAAAUUUAUUCUGGCUCAAUUAUUGAGCUUUGUAAUUCAUAGUAGAGAAUUUUAAGCUCCGCUUAGUGCUAGGGGUCAAAAGAAUUUAUAU
RNAcentral lists this long non-coding RNA (2204 nucleotides) under Gallus gallus (chicken). Its description in RNAcentral is "lncRNA (ENSGALG00010010787.1)". Lineage: Eukaryota; Metazoa; Chordata; Aves; Galliformes; Phasianidae. The record is from RNAcentral.